This 200-nucleotide unclassified non-coding RNA is filed under the name Schizothecium sp. RNAcentral describes it as "partial internal transcribed spacer 2". The record is from RNAcentral. Lineage: Eukaryota; Fungi; Ascomycota; Sordariomycetes; Sordariales; Schizotheciaceae.
UUAAGUUCAGCGGGUAUUCCUACCUGAUCCGAGGUCAACCUUGAUAUGGGGGGUGUUUCACGGCAAGAGACCCGCGGCGUUCCCUGAGCGAGGAUGUUUACUGCACUCGGUACGACGACGAGCCCGCCACUGGAUUUAGGGGUCUGCGGCAGCCGCAGGGCCCCAACACAAGCGGGGCGCUUGAUGGUUGAAAUGACGCU